CGUAAGGCGCCGAAUGAGUCAUUAAAAAAUUAACAUCAUCCGAUCCCUAGUCGGCAUAGUUUAUGGUUAAGACUACGACGGUAUCUGAUCGUCUUCGAUCCCCCUAACUUUCGUUCUUGAUUAAUGAAAACAUCCUUGGCAAAUGCUUUCGCAGUAGUUAGUCUUCAAUAAAUCCAAGAAUUUCACCUCUGACAAUUGAAUACUAAUGCCCCCAACUAUCCCUAUUAAUCAUUACGUCAAUCCUAGAAACCAACAAAAUAGGAUCGAACGUCCUAUUUCAUUAUUCCAUGCUAAUGUAUUCAAGCGUUAGCCUGCUUUAAACACUCUAAUUUUUCAAGUAACAGUCCAGAUUCCCUGCAACACCAAAUUAAUGGCAUUACAGCUCAUCAGGAAGGAGGAGCCAGUAAGACCAGUGCAUACCAGUGGCACGACCAAUCUACUGACCCCGAAAUUCAACUACGAGCUUUUAACUGCAACAACUUUAAUAUACGCUAUUGGAGCUGGAAUUACCGCGG
This 515-nucleotide ribosomal RNA is filed under the name uncultured Glomus. Its description in RNAcentral is "partial 18S ribosomal RNA". Lineage: Eukaryota; Fungi; Glomeromycota; Glomeromycetes; Glomerales; Glomeraceae. The record is from RNAcentral.